UCCUGGCUCAGAUUGAACGCUGGCGGCAGGCCUAACACAUGCAAGUCGAGCGGUAGAGAGAAGCUUGCUUCUCUUGAGAGCGGCGGACGGGUGAGUAAUGCCUAGGAAUCUGCCUGGUAGUGGGGGAUAACGUUCGGAAACGGACGCUAAUACCGCAUACGUCCUACGGGAGAAAGCAGGGGACCUUCGGGCCUUGCGCUAUCAGAUGAGCCUAGGUCGGAUUAGCUAGUUGGUGGGGUAAUGGCUCACCAAGGCGACGAUCCGUAACUGGUCUGAGAGGAUGAUCAGUCACACUGGAACUGAGACACGGUCCAGACUCCUACGGGAGGCAGCAGUGGGGAAUAUUGGACAAUGGGCGAAAGCCUGAUCCAGCCAUGCCGCGUGUGUGAAGAAGGUCUUCGGAUUGUAAAGCACUUUAAGU
Molecule: ribosomal RNA, 421 nt
Filed under: uncultured Pseudomonas sp.
Lineage: Bacteria; Pseudomonadati; Pseudomonadota; Gammaproteobacteria; Pseudomonadales; Pseudomonadaceae
Description: bacterial SSU rRNA
Rfam family: Bacterial small subunit ribosomal RNA
Source: RNAcentral